Molecule: non-coding RNA, 57 nt
Filed under: unclassified sequences
Description: Xanthine-I sequence
Rfam family: Xanthine riboswitch aptamer (NMT1 RNA)
About the family: Later it was reported as a ncRNA that recognised Xanthine.
Source: Rfam by way of RNAcentral
CCCAGGAGUAGAAGCGUUCAGCGUUGGCCAGCCCGGCGCCCGGAAAUUGCUCUGGAA